CACGUAGGGUGCAAGCGUUGUCCGGAUUUAUUGGGCGUAAAGGGCUCGUAGGCGGUUCGACAAGUCGGGUGUGAAACCUCCAGGCUCAACCUGGAGUCGGCACUCGAAACUGUUGUGACUAGAGUCCGGUAGGGGAGCAUGGAAUUCCUGGUGUAGCGGUGGAAUGCGCAGAUAUCAGGAGGAACACCAGUGGCGAAGGCGAUGCUCUGGGCCGGUACUGACGCUGAGGAGCGAAAGCAUGGGGAGCGAACAGG
Molecule: ribosomal RNA, 254 nt
Filed under: uncultured bacterium
Lineage: Bacteria
Description: partial 16S ribosomal RNA
Rfam family: Bacterial small subunit ribosomal RNA
Source: RNAcentral